CCCGAGUGGCGGACGGGUGAGUAACGCGUGGGUAGCCUGCCCUGUACAGGGGGACGAACAGCCGGAAACGGCUGCUAAUACCGCAUAAGCCCGCGGCGCCGCAUGGCGCUGCGGGGAAAACUCCGGUGGUACAGGAUGGGCCCGCGUCUGAUUAGCUAGUUGGCGGGGUAACGGCCCACCAAGGCAGCGAUCAGUAGCCGGCUUGAGAGAGUGGACGGCCACAUUGGGACUGAGACACGGCCCAGACUCCUACGGGAGGCAGCAG
Molecule: ribosomal RNA, 265 nt
Filed under: uncultured bacterium
Lineage: Bacteria
Description: partial 16S ribosomal RNA
Rfam family: Bacterial small subunit ribosomal RNA
Source: RNAcentral